This is a long non-coding RNA of Dermacentor albipictus, 768 nucleotides long. RefSeq lists it as uncharacterized. NCBI's taxonomy places the organism in Eukaryota, Metazoa, Arthropoda, Arachnida, Ixodida, Ixodidae. The record is from RefSeq and is a predicted model, not a curated record.
CGCUGUGUGUGCGCGCACGUGUUAGCGUGUCUGCCUGCAUGCAUGUAUGUGUGCUUGUUUGUGUUCAUCAAUGUGCGCGUGCGCGCUUUUGUGUCUGCGCUUUGAGAGUGCGUAUACUUGUGUGUGCGUGUGGGUGCGUUUUGUGUGCGUGCGUAUGUAUUGCAUGAGGCCGGUAGAAUUUUACUCGCAAUAAAACUCUUCCGAUUUGGUGCAGCGAGUGUUCCCGCCUGAAAGCCGAGUUUGGUUUCAAGCCACCCUGGACAACUGCUGUAUGAGGCGCCGUUUCUCGGGAGGACCAGUGGGAAGGCGCCAGGUCAUGCAGAUGGUAGCAGCAAUUUCACAAUGCCCAGCCUUGGCGCCCCCCAUCAAGAGCAAGCCACUUGCGUUCGCCUUCAGACAGAUGGUUAAUGUCUUCUUGAAAGCGGUUGAGAAGACAACAUUGAUGCAAGAUUCCAGCAAUGCCAUGCGCUGCAUUUAUUGGUCAAGAUGCUCAGAGAAUGGAGUCCCUGCACCUCGUGGUUAACCGUGAACAUUUCUUUUUCUUUUGGAAAGCUAAAGGCCAUUUGCUGCAUCACUUGCAUUUUUGCAGCUCAGAUGUGUACUAUAUUUUUCUAAUUUUGAAUCAAUAUUGGCUGUUCAGUAUAAAAAAUGACGUACAGCGUGAAGGACAAGGACUGCGAGAGACACACUCCACUGACUUUCAACAAUAUUUUAUUGCGUUGCCACAUCGUGUGUGUAUACACAGAGGGGUCAUGCGCAGAAAAUGAA